UCUAGGGAGAUGAUAGCAGGCUGGAUUUCUUGGGGUAACGAACCCCUACACUUUCAAGAUUCAAAGUACUUUCUAAAGUACAAUUAAUUGAUUUCUACAUGAAAUGAAGGGCCUCAUGAUCAGAGAAGGUCAUCCUUUCCAUCCGAACCUCUGUUGACAUUCUGAUGAUCUUUGCUCACAAAUAUGUUCCCGUAUCCCUAUGAAAUCCAGCAUUCUCGGACGGAUUAGUUGAGGAAUUUCAAUUUGGUUUCUUAUUAAUAAGAUCUGAUUACUCCUCUCAGGAAGUAAUGACUCUCUGGAAGGCCAGCAGCCCAUUGUUCUAUGUCAUGUAGGCUUAUUAUCAGUCAACACAAAGAACCGGAUGGGAACUUGGCUCACGAGAGGUGCAUGGGAACUUGGCUCAUGAGGACGAUUUGCAGGACCCGAAGAGUAAACAAGUUAUAGCGGUGGGCAAUCAGGCUGGAAAUCUGUAUUUUGUGGAUAAAAAAUCCUCCUUUGAUUCUUGUAUUAAUAAUUCUUAUUUUACUUCACAUAAUUGUGUUGAUUCCUUGUGGCACUUGAGGCCGGGUCAUCCCUCCUCUGUUGUAAUGCAGUAUAUUACAAAUAUUAACUGCAAUCUCACUUUGCAACCUAAAUUGUGAAGUAUGUCCUAUUGCGGAACAACACCGUUUGCCUUUUCCUUCAAGUAGCAUCACUUUCGCCUCCAUAUUUGAGUUGUUACACACUGAUC
Non-coding RNA from Sesamum indicum (sesame), 730 nucleotides. Lineage: Eukaryota; Viridiplantae; Streptophyta; Magnoliopsida; Lamiales; Pedaliaceae. The record is from RefSeq and is a predicted model, not a curated record.